UGUGUUAGUGGAAGCGUCUGGAAAGGCGCGCGAUACAGGGUGACAGCCCCGUACACAAAAAUGCACAUGCUGUGAGCUCGAUGAGUAGGGCGGGACACGUGGUAUCCUGUCUGAAUAUGGGGGGACCAUCCUCCAAGGCUAAAUACUCCUGACUGACCGAUAGUGAACCAGUACCGUGAGGGAAAGGCGAAAAGAACCCCGGCGAGGGGAGUGAAAAAGAACCUGAAACCGUGUACGUACAAGCAGUGGGAGCACGCUUAGGCGUGUGACUGCGUACCUUUUGUAUAAUGGGUCAGCGACUUAUAUUCUGUAGCAAGGUUAACCGAAUAGGGGAGCCGAAGGGAAACCGAGUCUUAACUGGGCGUUAAGUUGCAGGGUAUAGACCCGAAACCCGGUGAUCUAGCCAUGGGCAGGUUGAAGGUUGGGUAACACUAACUGGAGGACCGAACCGACUAAUGUUGAAAAAUUAGCGGAUGACUUGUGGCUGGGGGUGAAAGGCCAAUCAAACCGGGAGAUAGCUGGUUCUCCCCGAAAGCUAUUUAGGUAGCGCCUCGUGAAUUCAUCUCCGGGGGUAGAGCACUGUUUCGGCAAGGGGGUCAUCCCGACUUACCAACCCGAUGCAAACUGCGAAUACCGGAGAAUGUUAUCACGGGAGACACACGGCGGGUGCUAACGUCCGUCGUGAAGAGGGAAACAACCCAGACCGCCAGCUAAGGUCCCAAAGUCAUGGUUAAGUGGGAAACGAUGUGGGAAGGCCCAGACAGCCAGGAUGUUGGCUUAGAAGCAGCCAUCAUUUAAAGAAAGCGUAAUAGCUCACUGGUCGAGUCGGCCUGCGCGGAAGAUGUAACGGGGCUAAACCAUGCACCGAAGCUGCGGCAGCGACGCUGAUGCGUUGUUGGGUAGGGGAGCGUUCUGUAAGCCUGUGAAGGUGUGCUGUGAGGCAUGCUGGAGGUAUCAGAAGUGCGAAUGCUGACAUAAGUAACGAUAAAGCGGGUGAAAAGCCCGCUCGCCGGAAGACCAAGGGUUCCUGUCCAACGUUAAUCGGGGCAGGGUGAGUCGACCCCUAAGGCGAGGCCGAAAGGCGUAGUCGAUGGGAAACAGGUUAAUAUUCCUGUACUUGGUGUUACUGCGAAGGGGGGACGGAGAAGGCUAUGUUGGCCGGGCGACGGUUGUCCCGGUUUAAGCGUGUAGGCUGGUUUUCCAGGCAAAUCCGGAAAAUCAAGGCUGAGGCGUGAUGACGAGGCACUACGGUGCUGAAGCAACAAAUGCCCUGCUUCCAGGAAAAGCCUCUAAGCAUCAGGUAACAUCAAAUCGUACCCCAAACCGACACAGGUGGUCAGGUAGAGAAUACCAAGGCGCUUGAGAGAACUCGGGUGAAGGAACUAGGCAAAAUGGUGCCGUAACUUCGGGAGAAGGCACGCUGAUAUGUAGGUGAAGUCCCUCGCGGAUGGAGCUGAAAUCAGUCGAAGAUACCAGCUGGCUGCAACUGUUUAUUAAAAACACAGCACUGUGCAAACACGAAAGUGGACGUAUACGGUGUGACGCCUGCCCGGUGCCGGAAGGUUAAUUGAUGGGGUCAGCGCAAGCGAAGCUCUUGAUCGAAGCCCCGGUAAACGGCGGCCGUAACUAUAACGGUCCUAAGGUAGCGAAAUUCCUUGUCGGGUAAGUUCCGACCUGCACGAAUGGCGUAAUGAUGGCCAGGCUGUCUCCACCCGAGACUCAGUGAAAUUGAACUCGCUGUGAAGAUGCAGUGUACCCGCGGCAAGACGGAAAGACCCCGUGAACCUUUACUAUAGCUUGACACUGAACAUUGAGCCUUGAUGUGUAGGAUAGGUGGGAGGCUUUGAAGUGUGGACGCCAGUCUGCAUGGAGCCGGCCUUGAAAUACCACCCUUUAAUGUUUGAUGUUCUAACGUUGACCCGUGAUCCGGGUUGCGGACAGUGUCUGGUGGGUAGUUUGACUGGGGCGGUCUCCUCCUAAAGAGUAACGGAGGAGCACGAAGGUUGGCUAAUCCUGGUCGGACAUCAGGAGGUUAGUGCAAUGGCAUAAGCCAGCUUGACUGCGAGCGUGACGGCGCGAGCAGGUGCGAAAGCAGGUCAUAGUGAUCCGGUGGUUCUGAAUGGAAGGGCCAUCGCUCAACGGAUAAAAGGUACUCCGGGGAUAACAGGCUGAUACCGCCCAAGAGUUCAUAUCGACGGCGGUGUUUGGCACCUCGAUGUCGGCUCAUCACAUCCUGGGGCUGAAGUAGGUCCCAAGGGUAUGGCUGUUCGCCAUUUAAAGUGGUACGCGAGCUGGGUUUAGAACGUCGUGAGACAGUUCGGUCCCUAUCUGCCGUGGGCGCUGGAGAACUGAGGGGGGCUGCUCCUAGUACGAGAGGACCGGAGUGGACGCAUCACUGGUGUUCGGGUUGUCAUGCCAAUGGCACUGCCCGGUAGCUAAAUGCGGAAGAGAUAAGUGCUGAAAGCAUCUAAGCACGAAACUUGCCCCGAGAUGAGUUCUCCCUGACUCCUUGAGAGUCCUGAAGGAACGUUGAAGACGACGACGUUGAUAGGCCGGGUGUGUAAGCGCAGCGAUGCGUUGAGCUAACCGGUACUAAUGAACCGUGAGG
This 2608-nucleotide ribosomal RNA is filed under the name Escherichia coli. RNAcentral's name for it is "partial 23S ribosomal RNA". It matches the Rfam family "Bacterial large subunit ribosomal RNA", at positions 325 to 2915 of the family's 2925-position model. The record is from RNAcentral. Lineage: Bacteria; Pseudomonadati; Pseudomonadota; Gammaproteobacteria; Enterobacterales; Enterobacteriaceae.